This 523-nucleotide ribosomal RNA is filed under the name uncultured bacterium. RNAcentral's name for it is "bacterial SSU rRNA". It matches the Rfam family "Bacterial small subunit ribosomal RNA", at positions 8 to 524 of the family's 1533-position model. The record is from RNAcentral.
AGAGUUUGAUCAUGGCUCAGGACGAACGCUGGCGGCGUGCUUAAUACAUGCAAGUCGAGCGAGGUUACUGGAGUGGAGCCCUUCGGGGUGAAGCUGCUUUAACCUAGCGGCGGACGGGUGAGUAACGCGUGGGUAACCUACCCCAAAGUCCGGGAUAACAGCGGGAAACCGCUGCUAAUACCGGAUGCCUUUACCUUGGGGCAUCUUGAGGUAAAGAAAGGCAACGCUUUGGGAUGGGCCCGCGUCCCAUUAGCUAGUUGGUGAGGUAACGGCUCACCAAGGCGACGAUGGGUAGCCGGCCUGAGAGGGUGGACGGCCACACUGGGACUGAGACACGGCCCAGACUCCUACGGGAGGCAGCAGUAGGGAAUAUUGCGCAAUGGACGGAAGUCUGACGCAGCGACGCCGCGUGAGCGAUGAAGGCCUUCGGGUCGUAAAGCUCUGUCCUUGGGGAAGAAGGCGAAAGCUUGACGGUACCCAAGAAGAAAGCCCCGGCUAACUACGUGCCAGCAGCCGCGGUAAU